Molecule: ribosomal RNA, 472 nt
Filed under: uncultured bacterium
Lineage: Bacteria
Description: bacterial SSU rRNA
Rfam family: Bacterial small subunit ribosomal RNA
Source: RNAcentral
CAUAAGAUUGUAGUACCGCAUGGUACAGCAAUUAAAGGAGCAAUCCGCUAUGAGAUGGGCCCGCGGCGCAUUAGCUAGUUGGUGAGGCAACGGCUCACCAAGGCGACGAUGCGUAGCCGACCUGAGAGGGUGAUCGGCCACAUUGGGACUGAGACACGGCCCAGACUCCUACGGGAGGCAGCAGUGGGGAAUAUUGCACAAUGGGGGAAACCCUGAUGCAGCAACGCCGCGUGAGUGAUGACGGCCUUCGGGUUGUAAAGCUCUGUCUUCAGGGACGAUAAUGACGGUACCUGAGGAGGAAGCCACGGCUAACUACGUGCCAGCAGCCGCGGUAAUACGUAGGUGGCGAGCGUUGUCCGGAUUUACUGGGCGUAAAGGGAGCGUAGGCGGAUUUUUAAGUGAGAUGUGAAAUACUCGGGCUUAACCUGAGUGCUGCAUUUCAAACUGGAAGUCUAGAGUGCAGGAGAGGAGA